ACGUCCGUACCAUGCUGAAUACACCGGUUCUCGUUAUAUCACCGAAGUUAAGCAUCAUCAUUGGGCGCGGUCAGUACUUGGGUGAGUGACCACCUGGGAACACUGCGUGCCGUU
This 114-nucleotide ribosomal RNA is filed under the name Caerostris darwini. Lineage: Eukaryota; Metazoa; Arthropoda; Arachnida; Araneae; Araneidae. The record is from RNAcentral.